This 502-nucleotide ribosomal RNA is filed under the name uncultured bacterium. Its description in RNAcentral is "partial 16S ribosomal RNA". It matches the Rfam family "Bacterial small subunit ribosomal RNA", at positions 30 to 523 of the family's 1533-position model. The record is from RNAcentral.
AUUGAACGCUGGCGGCAUGCCUUACACAUGCAAGUCGAACGGCAGCACGGGUGCUUGCACCUGGUGGCGAGUGGCGAACGGGUGAGUAAUAUAUCGGAACAUACCCUAGAGUGGGGGAUAACGUAGCGAAAGUUACGCUAAUACCGCAUACGAACUAAGGUUGAAAGUGGGGGAUCGCAAGACCUCAUGCUCAUGGAGUGGCCGAUAUCUGAUUAGCUAGUUGGUGAGGUAAAGGCUCACCAAGGCGACGAUCAGUAGCUGGUUUGAGAGACCGACCAGCCACACUGGAACUGAGACACGGUCCAGACUCCUACGGGAGGCAGCAGUGGGGAAUUUUGGACAAGGGGGGCAACCCUGAUCCAGCAAUGCCGCGUGAGUGAAGAAGGCCCUCGGGUUGUAAAGCUCUUUUGUCAGGGAAGAAACGGUCUACUCUAAUACAGUGGGCUAAUGACGGUACCUGAAGAAUAAGCACCGGCUAACUACGUGCCAGCAGCCGCCGUAA